This 467-nucleotide ribosomal RNA is filed under the name uncultured bacterium. RNAcentral's name for it is "partial 16S ribosomal RNA". It matches the Rfam family "Bacterial small subunit ribosomal RNA", at positions 28 to 507 of the family's 1533-position model. The record is from RNAcentral.
GACGAACGCUGGCGGCGUGCUUAACACAUGCAAGUCGAACGGAAAGGCCCUGCUUUUGUGGGGUGCUCGAGUGGCGAACGGGUGAGUAACACGUGAGUAACCUGCCCUUGACUUUGGGAUAACUUCAGGAAACUGGGGCUAAUACCGGAUAGGAGCUCCUGCUGCAUGGUGGGGGUUGGAAAGUUUCGGCGGUUGGGGAUGGACUCGCGGUUUAUCAUCUUGUUGGUGGGGUAGUGGCUUACCAAGGCUUUGACGGGUAGCCGCCCUGGGAGGGUGACAGGCACAAUGGGACUGGGGGACGGGCCAGACUGCUACCGGAGGCAACGGGGGGGAAUAUUGCACAAUGGGCGGAAGCCUGAUGCAGCAACGCCGCGUGCGGGAUGACGGCCUUCGGGUUGUAAACCGCUUUCGCCUGUGACGAAGCGUGAGUGACGGUAAUGGGUAAAGAAGCACCGGCUAACUACGUG